This 119-nucleotide ribosomal RNA is filed under the name Pteropus alecto (black flying fox). The record is from RNAcentral. Lineage: Eukaryota; Metazoa; Chordata; Mammalia; Chiroptera; Pteropodidae.
GUCUAUGGCCAUGCCACCUUGAACAAGCCCGAUCCCAUCUGAUCUCGGAAGCUAAGCAGGGUCGGGCCAGGUUAGUACUUGGAUGGGAGACCACCUAGGAAGACCAGGUGCUGUAGGCG